GCAAGUCGAACGAACCCUUCGGGGUGUGUGGCGCACGGGUGCGUAACGCGUGGGAACCUUCCCUAAGGUUCGGAAUAACAGUGAGAAAUCGCUGCUAAUACCGGAUAAUGUCGAAAGACCAAAGAUUUAUCGCCUGAGGAUGGGCCCGCGUUAGAUUAGGUAGUGGGUGAGGUAAUGGCUCACCAAGCCGACGAUCUAUAGCUGGUCUUAGAGGAUGAGC
This 220-nucleotide ribosomal RNA is filed under the name uncultured bacterium. RNAcentral's name for it is "partial 16S ribosomal RNA". It matches the Rfam family "Bacterial small subunit ribosomal RNA", at positions 57 to 305 of the family's 1533-position model. The record is from RNAcentral.